This 73-nucleotide transfer RNA is filed under the name Planctomycetaceae bacterium. Its description in RNAcentral is "tRNA-Lys". It matches the Rfam family "tRNA". Rfam says of the family: Transfer RNA (tRNA) molecules are approximately 80 nucleotides in length. Their secondary structure includes four short double-helical elements and three loops (D, anti-codon, and T loops). Further hydrogen bonds mediate the characteristic L-shaped molecular structure. tRNAs have two regions of fundamental functional importance: the anti-codon, which is responsible for specific mRNA codon recognition, and the 3' end, to which the tRNAs corresponding amino acid is attached (by aminoacyl-tRNA synthetases). tRNAs cope with the degeneracy of the genetic code in two manners: having more than one tRNA (with a specific anti-codon) for a particular amino acid; and 'wobble' base-pairing, i.e. permitting non-standard base-pairing at the 3rd anti-codon position. Lineage: Bacteria; Pseudomonadati; Planctomycetota; Planctomycetia; Planctomycetales; Planctomycetaceae. The record is from RNAcentral.
GGACUCGUAGCUCAAUUGGCAGAGCAACUGACUUUUAAUCAGUAGGUUCCGGGUUCGAUUCCCGGCGGGUCCA